AACGAACGCUGGCGGCAUGCCUAACACAUGCAAGUCGAACGAGACCUUCGGGUCUAGUGGCGCACGGGUGCGUAACGCGUGGGAACCUGCCCUUAGGUUCGGAAUAACUCCCCGAAAGGGGUGCUAAUACCGGAUAAUGUCUUCGGACCAAAGAUUUAUCGCCUUUGGAUGGGCCCGCGUUGGAUUAGCUAGUUGGUAGGGUAAAAGCCUACCAAGGCGACGAUCCAUAGCUGGUCUGAGAGGAUGAUCAGCCACACUGGGACUGAGACACGGCCCAGACUCCUACGGGAAGCAGCAGUGGGGAAUAUUGGACAAUGGGCGAAAGCCUGAUCCAGCAAUGCCGCGUGAGUGAUGAAGGCCUUAGGGUUGUAAAGCUCUUUUACCCGGGAUGAUAAUGACAGUACCGGGAGAAUAAGCUCCGACUAACUCCGUG
This 433-nucleotide ribosomal RNA is filed under the name uncultured bacterium. Its description in RNAcentral is "partial 16S ribosomal RNA". It matches the Rfam family "Bacterial small subunit ribosomal RNA", at positions 29 to 507 of the family's 1533-position model. The record is from RNAcentral.